Molecule: non-coding RNA, 1555 nt
Organism: Myodes glareolus (Bank vole)
Lineage: Eukaryota; Metazoa; Chordata; Mammalia; Rodentia; Cricetidae
Source: RefSeq, a predicted model, not a curated record
UGGGGCUGUGCACAAUCAUAAACACAAGUGUGUCAUCACACAAUUAUAUUACUUCCCCUGCAAGUCUCAGGGAACACAGAAGUGUGGAGGGAACAGAGACUGUACGAGCUGGGGAAGGGGUAGAGACCUGUGGAACUGUCAUUUCCCAAUCGAAGCUUUCCAUACAGGAUGGAGAAGAGAUGCUCCUAAGGCUCAAGAAGGUAACAAAAUGUGCAAGGCUUAAGACGUUCAUAAAUUACAAGAUACUCAAGGAACCUCCACCCCAACUUUAUUAAGGCAGUACGCCUUACCUGCUAGAGACCUUUCCAGUUGGCCCGCCCAUAGCUUGUGCAGCAAUCUCCAGACUCACAGAUUUUAUGGGUUGUCACCAAUGCAGGAGUGGCUGCUCUGAGAUAGCUGUUUUUAUGUCACCCACACACCUCUAAGCAACCCCUUAAACAAUCUCCUGUAAGUAACCCAAAUGAACCUGCUUAGUCACUGAUCCAGCCUCAGAUAUAGUCUUUUUUUUUGUCUGUCACAAGUACCUUUCCUGGCCUAGUGUAACUAGACAUUUGUUCAUAUCUUCCAGGAAAACUCAGGUGCCACUUUGAAAUUCCCAGAACACAGAUAGCUAGGAUCAGGUGAAACAAUUCUUGGAUCAUCAUGCAGGGGGUUGAUAAUUAACCAUAACCUGUGGCGCCAACAUUUCUGAAGACUUUACCACCCCAUUAGACAAAACAAAGAGCUUCAGGAACGUGUGGAUGAUUGACAUGAACAUCAUUUGCUUAUGGGGGACACAGCCAGACAAACUCACCGUCCUCUGUCCUCAAGGCCAGGCAGGAACCGGGAAAUGAUCUUGUGGUAUUUGAAGUGUCCUGACUCAUCUUAGGCUCCAGGGUAAAUGCAGGGAUGAAAAUCACAUUUUCAGAACCCUUGACAGUCUGAGGAUUUCUCUCCCUUUGCCUGCAUGUUUGUGGCUGCACUACAUGCAUGCCUGGUCCAAGGAGGCCAGAAGACGGUGCUGGAUCCUCUGGAAUUGGAACUAACGAUGGUUGUAAGCUGUCCUCUGAGUGCUGGGAAUUGAACCCUGGUCAUUGACAAGAACGACAAUGGUGAAUCACAGCCUUGAUUAGUCUAGCUCAAUCGUCACCAGAGAGGUUUUCUCCAGCAGCUGAUGGGAGCAGAUGCAGAGACCCACAGCCAAACAUUAGAAGGAGCUCAUGGGACCCUACAGAAGAAGAAGAGGAAGGACUGUAGGAGCCAGAGGGGCCAAGGACACCAGGAGAACACAGCCCACAGAAUCAUCUAACCAUGACUCCCAGGGGUUCACAGAGACAGAAGUGUCAAUAACAGAGACUGCCUGGGUCUACUCUAGGACUCUGCAAACAGGCUGUGGUUGUUUAGCUUGGUGUUUUUCUGGGCUCCCAACAGUGGGAGGGGGGUGUGUUCAAUUCUUUUGCCUGCUUGCAGGACACUUUUCUCCACCUGGGUUGUUUCCAGCCUUGAUAUCAGGGUUUCUGCCUAGUCUUACCGUAUCUUGUUAUGCCAUGCUUGGUUGAUAUCCCUGGGAAGCCUG